Molecule: non-coding RNA, 46 nt
Organism: Nicotiana sylvestris (wood tobacco)
Lineage: Eukaryota; Viridiplantae; Streptophyta; Magnoliopsida; Solanales; Solanaceae
Source: Rfam
UUAAAGGUUUUUUUUAAAACCAUAUUUUUCUUCAUCUAUAUUGAAG